AUGAGCAUUAGUCACCCUCCUUACAAGAAACAGCCUGUGUCCUCUAGUAGCCUCCUUCUCCUAAAGAGCUCUGAAAUGCUUAAACAUCUCAAGUCUCACACUGUCACCCUUCCUACUCUUCUCCUGAAAAGCAAGGGGAGGAGGGGAAGGACUCCCUUCCUUCCUUCCUUCCUUCCUUCCUUCCUUCCUUCCUUCCUUCCUUCCUUCCUUCCUUCCUUCCUUCCUUUCUUCCUUCCUUCCUCUUUCUUCCUUUCUUUCUUCCUUCCUUCCUCUCUAUCUAUCUUACUUCCUUCCUUCCUCUCUCUUUCUUUCUUUCUUCCUUCCUUCCUCUCUCUCUCUUUCUUCCUUCCUUCCUCUCUCUUUCUUUCUUUCUUUCUUUCUUUCUUUCUUUCUUUCUUUCUUUCUUUCUUUCUUUCUUUCUUUCUUUCUUUUUCUUGCUGCCCCUCUGGCAUAUUUUAUUUCAGAUACCUGCUUAGCUUCAAACCUCAUUUGGAUGGUUAAAUGAGAAUAGGAGUAUGAAUGCAAAAUGGCAGUGCGGUUAUAGCUCCCUGUCCUCUCUGAAACUAGGGGUUGAUGUUGGAUAAAAUGAAAUCAAGUUUAGAUCAACAGCUAGCUCUCACGUUUGAAUCUAAGUCAAACCUAGAAAGUCAGGAUUGGGGGAGUGCACACCCUAAGCUAUGGGUAUGCUUUAUACAGACAUCAAAGAGAUAAAAGGGGAUAGAUGUAUGCCUUAGAGUUUGUCCUGGAACCCACAGGGGCCAUAAGGGCAUUCCUAUGGGUAAAUGUGGGAGGGAUACAUAGGGGAUGGAGUGGGACUAUUGAGAAACAGAAAAAAGUAAGGGAAUCUCAAGAAUCAGUACUCGGCUUGAAGGUCAGAAGACCAGGGUUCAAAUUCUCUCUCAGGUAUUGAAUAACUGUGUGACUCUACACAAGAUCCUUAACUUCUGAGACCUUUUUAUCUGUGAAAUGAGAAUUAUGGCACCUUCUUCAUAGGGUGGUUCUAAGGUCAAAAUAUGUCUCAAAUACUCCAUAUCAGUAUGACCUUCUAUGAUUUUUGCAAUCUGAAGCAAUCCAAAAAAAUCCCCAGAAGAAAAGUGAGGUGUUUGGUGAACAGUUUGCUCUCAACCAGGCCUAUACUGGAGCCAGCUCAAACAUGCUGAAGGAAGCCCAUUGUUAAAUUUCAGUGAGCAUUUAUACCUCAGAAAUCUCUGAACACUACAAAUCAAAGCUGGAUUUAUUGUACUAGAUUGUCUAGCCUUAAGUAUUAGUAAUGCAAUUUACACUUAAAUGUGUAUUGUGGACAUCAUAUAUACCCCACUUAGGGAGCCAGUUGUUAAAUAUUUACCAGAACACCCCUGCCCUCAACUGAAAUUAGUCUCUUUGAGAUUUCCUUCCCCAAUUACUGUAGGUUGUCCAGGACUUUUUUUUUUUUUGGUCUGGCUGGCCCAACGAUUAAAAUGAGCAUAUUAAGUUCCUCUCCACUUCCAGUCUCAGGACUCAAUCUCUCCUUCCACCUUGCCCUUAUUCCACUAGGCAAAAUCUUGCUCUUAGACGCCCUCCACAGCCUUUGUCUCUCCAGCUGCUGUUAGGGAGCACAAAUUCCUAUGCAAACCUACAGACAUACGUGGGUUCUGAUGCUUCCCAUAACGGGCAGCUUUUAUUAUUUUUUUUAAGAGGGCAAGCUUGUGGGUAACACAGCUGGUGACAAUUAGAGACAUCUGGCUGACUCAGCAAGAAAAGUGGAAGGAGCAGGAGGCUUCAGCUGGUAAAGGAUUUGCCCUAGAAACAGAAUAGUCAGUGGAUCAGUUCCUGAGGGAGAGAAAAGGACCUGCUGAUUGAGAAGAAGGCACUUAAACCUUUCUUAAAAUCCUUGCUCUCCUUGCCACCUACGAGAGCCUCCUAAGGCCACCAGGUGGUGGUGUGUGGAUACUCAAGUUGGGAGCUUUCUUCCUGGUUGGUUCCACACCCCUGGAGGUUAUUAUACUCCAGGUAAGUAUUAGUUCAUGGAAAGUGGGUACCAGGAGCCCAGGGCAGAUUCAGCUGCAAAAAGCCCAGGGAAAUGAAUGCCCCAGUGCAUGUGCACAUUGCAAUUUACACCAAUCUCAGGCUGUAAUGUUGAUGUGAAAGGGAUGGGUUUGUCUAGAAUCCAAGGUGGUUGUGAAAGAUGGGCACUCUUAAAAUCAGAUGAGGAGAAAGAAAGAAAGAAAGAAAGAAAGAAAGAAAGAAAGAAAGAAAGAAAGAAAGAAAGAAAGAAAGAAAGAAAGAAAGAAAGAAAGAAAGAAAGAAAGAAAGAAAGAAAGAAAGAAAGAAAGAAAGAAAGAAAGAAAGAAAGAGUGAGCCAUUUUCCUAAAUGUUGAUAUGAAAACUGGACCUGGCUCUCUUGAUUUUUAAAAUAUGCCUAUUUCCAUUAGAGCAUCCAUGUCUGAUUUUUUAUUACCCCAUUUGGGGUUUUCUUCACAAAAAUACUGAAGUGGUUUGCCAUUUCUUUUGCCAGCUCAUUUUACAGACGAGGAAACUGAGGCAAACAGAGUGAAGUGACUUUCCCAGGGUUACACAGCUAGAAAGUGUCUGGUUUGAAUUCAGGCUUCCCCUAACUUCAGACCUGGCUUUCAGUCCACUAAGCCACCUAGCUAUCCCUUCUGCUCUCUCUUAAAUAUAGUUUAAGAAAAAUAACACCAUCCCAAAACAAAUAUGCAUAAAAUCCCCACAUUGGCUAUAUCUAAAAACAUUCAAAUGAAACACCUACUCUAGUCUUAUUCUGUAUGUUAACAGCCCAUCACUUCUUUUGUCAGGAGGUAGGCAACAUGUUUCAUCCUCUAUCCUCUGGAAUCAUGAAUUAUCAUUGCAUUGACCAGAGUUCCAAAGUUUUUCAAAGUUGUUUUUCUCUAUGAUAUUUUUGUCAUUGUAUAAAUCAUUCUCUUAGCUUUGCUCAUUUCACUAGGCAUCAGUUCAUUAAGGCCUUCUUAGUUUCCUCUGAAGCUGGCUAUUUCAUCACAUCUUAUAACUUAAUAAUAUUCUGUUUCAUUAAUAUUCCAUAAUUCAUUUAGCCAUUCCCAAUAGGAGGGUACCUCCCCAUCCCCCUUAAGUUUCCAUCAUUUCUUGUUGUUCAGUUGUUUUAGUCAGGUCUACUUUCUCAUGACCCUAUUUCUUGGUCAAAAUACUGGAGUGAUUUGCCAUUUUUCUCUCUGGCUCAUUUGACCGAUGAGGAAAUUAAGGUAAAAUGAUUAAGUGAUUUGCCCAGGGUCAUAUAGCUAAUAAGAAUUUGAACUUGGGAAGAUGUUCCUGGAGAUAUCUUAUGCCCCCUAGCACUUUCCACAGCAGAGUUAUUAAACUGGGUCAAUAGACCCAGAACCAGUGGCUUUUCAGUACAUAUUGGUAGCGCUUUCCAUCAAGCACAGGUUGCACACUUCACAUAAACAUUUGCUGUCAUCUAGGGUCAGAAAAUGGCAGUUAGGUGACAUAGUGGAUUGAGUGCAGUCCUGCAAGUCAAGAAGACCUCAUUUUAAAUGUGGCCUCAGAUACUUCCUAGCUAUGUGACCCUGGGCAAAUCACUUAACCUUGUUUGCCUCAGUUUUCUCAUCUGUGAAGUGAGCUGGAGAAGGGAAUAGGAAACCAUUCUAGUAUCUUUUUCCAAAAAACUCCAAAUGGGGUCAUGAAGAGUCAAACACAAUUGAAAUGACUCAAUAAUAAAAUUGAUCACCUAUACUUUCA
Molecule: long non-coding RNA, 3711 nt
Filed under: Monodelphis domestica (gray short-tailed opossum)
Lineage: Eukaryota; Metazoa; Chordata; Mammalia; Didelphimorphia; Didelphidae
Description: lncRNA (ENSMODG00000037219.1)
Source: RNAcentral